Molecule: long non-coding RNA, 193 nt
Organism: Patiria miniata (bat star)
Lineage: Eukaryota; Metazoa; Echinodermata; Asteroidea; Valvatida; Asterinidae
Exons: 4
Source: RefSeq, a predicted model, not a curated record
CCGUGGCUGAAGCAACAAAGGAAGAACCACAGUGGGAUGGCAUGUGAGUUGGAGCCAAUUAAGCCAUCGCCAGUAUUAGAGAGUUAUCGCAACAAGUGUGAGUUUACCAUCGGCAAGAGUGUAGAUGGCAUCGGUCUUGACCCACAAGAGAACCAUUUCACCAGCACCUCUGACGUACCGGUGACUGGCGAUG